Molecule: RNA transcript, 6547 nt
Organism: Betta splendens (Siamese fighting fish)
Lineage: Eukaryota; Metazoa; Chordata; Actinopteri; Anabantiformes; Osphronemidae
Gene name: palmdelphin-like
Exons: 9
Source: RefSeq, a predicted model, not a curated record
AACUAACACUUUAGCUACAUGUGGCCAUGCUAAUUCAACUUGAAAACAAAUUAAUAUACUGUAGGAACUAUAUCCUAGGACUAUACGAAGCUAAAGCUAAACGCUAGAGCCAAAAUGAUGCGUUCUCAUUCCAGCGUGGUAUGUUUACGUGUAGCCCAAACAAGAACGUGGCUCGAUGAAAGAUAAAGUCCCACCAGACUUUCAACAAGCAUGAAGCCAAGCUGAAAGGAGUCAUUGGCUUCCAAGCAAUUGAGGAAAGGUUCAGAGAGCUCGGACAAGCAGCGUCUGCGUUUCAAAGAGGUCUUUGCUGAACAUCUGCACAUGGACAUGGAAGGUUCUCCUACGUGAGAUUAUCAGGCUGUGAUAGUGUUCCACUUCUCCCGCUGAUCUUAGAGCAGCUUGUCUCCUUUUGCUAGAGAUGAAUUCAGGAACUGAAGAUUGCCACAAGCCAGUGCGGACACAACAUGCAGCUUAAACUGGCAGCUACAUCGUUACCGUUGCAGACUCACUAAUUAUUCCAUAUGCAUUCAGUACAUUGAUGUAUGUAGUAAAGCAAAGUAAGUAAAUGAACAUCCUGAUUAGUGUUACAAGUGAGAAUGUUUGCCUUCUCACUUCUGCAUCACCCUGUCUUGUUAUCCAAAGGAAGGAACACCAAGCUUCGAAGACAAGAUGCAUUUGCUUUAACAGCCUUGGGUCUGGUGGGGAGUCAGAUAGGAUGGAGCCAGAGCCCGGGUGUAAAAGUCAAACAUAUAUCAUAAAUUAUUAGUCAGUCAAAUGAAACAUCAGAUGUUAAGACUUGAUGUACGACAGGGCACAAGAGAUUAGUUGUUUGUGUAAGAAUGUUCAGUUCAGUAUUGCACCUAACCAGCACAUGACGACUGCGUUGGAUAAGAAAUAGCACAAAGGCACAAUUUUUCCAUUACACAACACUAUUCUGAUCUCAGCCUGUUAUUUAGCAUUUCAUACAGGUGUUAUGAUAAGUGAGUAUUUUGACCAUUUUACCCACAUAUUCAGAGUCUCACAGUGAAACACAAAACAACACAAACCAAAUGAUUUGUUUAACAUGAAAUGUAUUUAUUACAGUGUGUUUACAACUUAUUUGUGAAAAUGACUCGUCCCCACAGACUUCUGUUGGCAGAUGGAGGCCAACACCAUGUCCCAAACCCAGCAGCACAGAGGAAGCAGUAAUAAAGACACUUCCCCUAUGUGGUUUGGACCGGGAGGCUCCUCUUCGUUUGGACCGGAGGCCGGAGGGAGCGGGGAGCUGCAGGAUGCUGGAAGAAACACCAUGAACAGAUGUGUUGUUAACACACAAGUCUACAUUGUGAUGUUAAGCUUAUCACCACUUUACUACUCAGGUAAAUGACUGCUCAGGUGAUUACUUACUGCACUGAGCCUCCAUGAACGCAGGGGACAACUUCUCUCCAGGUGGUCCUAUCCGUGGAUGAAGUUCUCCAGCCUCCACAGCUGCACCUGUCACAACCAAAAUGAACACAUUAGCUCCAGGAGUAGAGGAUGUGAAGAACAGACUAUGAAUAGGCUCUGACAUGUCAUUCUUACUCAGUGUAAAUGUGCAGCUGUUGUUCCUGCGUCGGUUUAAGAUCUCCAUCUUGGGCCCGAGCUGCUUGGAACGCAGGAUCUUGGUCCAGUUCGGUUGUGUCUGGUAAAGUGAAAGCAUUAGAAUACAGAGUGAGUAAAUACAUCAGCGAAAAAUAGUUAAGACUUGAACAUUUCAGUUGUAUUUACCGUUGCUGGGGGUCACCUUCUGCAGCUAAAAACACAAUAAUACAAAACGAUCACUAAUAAUAAGAACAAAUAAAGUGUCAGAACAGACAUAGAACAGAACAUCUUAUCUCAAUCUAACUUAAACUUUACCUAACAGAACAAAUAGUAAAACAAAUAAAUUGGUACGUGUCUCCUCCUCUGAUGAGGAGGAGAUGAAGACGGUGUCCUCUUGAGGGGGUGGGCUCCUCCAGGACGGUCCAUCCACCUCAAGGGACAAAGCAGCAGAACACUCAGUACGGCAUGUUCACAAUUUACCCUAAACAUCAUCUGUUUGUGACAGAGUAGAUGCAAGUAACAGUUCUGGACUAAGUCAGUGCAGGAGCCUGAUGGAACUGUGACGGCAUAAUGUGUUUACAAUGUGUUUACUGUCACGAGUCAUGAGAAUAAUUUCACAUAAUGCAAUAAUACUAAACAAAAAGACUCUAAACAGUUUAGGUCUGCUCACCUUUUAAACUGGGUGGAUGCGGACGACGUUGGUGCGAAACCAGAGCUUUGGUUUCCACCAAGUCACCGUUUCCUCCGCUGGACUCGGGUUGGCGUCUGCAGAAACUGAGAAGAAAGCAACAAUUUACUCGAGUUUAAGACAUGACAGUAUAAAAAACACUACUCAACAAAUACAGGCCCCAGGAAACCGAAUCCACAGUAAAACCCACAUGAUGAGAAGGACAUGAAUGAAUUUAAAUGAGAGUUGUGACAAAUGUUUCUUACAUUCACAGAUGAAGGGGCUGAGAUCAGCUGCCCCGGUCUCCACCGUCUUCAGCCUCCUCUCCGCCCAGACGUCCUGAGCUGUGACCUCAUAUUUUUCCCUUCUUCUUCUCUGCCUUCCUGUUGCUCAGUCUUCUUUCCUUUUCUUCCUUCUUCCGCUGUUUUUUCUUCUCCUUCUCAUCCUUUUCGCAUUGUUCCAUCCAUUUUUUCUUCUCUCUCUCAAAUGUCUUUAGCUCCUGCUGUUUCUUCUUCUUCUCCCUUUUCUGCUCUUCUCUCUCUUGUUUUCUUCUUCUCUCCUCUUCCUCCUUCAGUCGUUCGUCCUCCUUUUUGAGCUCCUUUGUGACCAUCUUUGAAACAGCCUUCUCUCUUUUCUCGUCCUUCUUCUGUUGUCGUUCUGUCCGUCUUUUAAUCCUUUGCUGCCUUUCUUUCUCUUCUUUCUUCCUUAUUUCCUCUUCCUUCUUCUGCCACUUCUCUUUUCUCUUAUCUUCCUUCCUCUCGUCUUUCUUCUCUUUCUUCUCAUACUUGUCUCGCUGCUCCUUUUCUUUCUGCCAUCGUUGCUGUCUUGCUUCUUCUUGCUUGGUAAGUAUUUCCUUUUCCUUCUUCUCUAGCUUCUUCAGUCGGAUUUCCUCCAGUUCUGGCAGGUACUCGCUGACAUUGAAGUUCUCCAACACGGUUUUCUUCAUCUCCUCUUUCCGCGCUUCCUCACGUCUUCUUUUGCUUUCUUGCUCCAUGGCGAUCUGAUGACUAACGGCCUGCAUCUGUAUGCGGCAUUCUAUUUCGUCUUGUUCCUUUAGUGCUGCCAUCCUUUGAUCUCUGUCCAUUUCUUUCAAGUUGCAUUCCACACGUUUCCUUAUCAGCUUGUUCCGCCACUCCUGGACAUAUGCAGAUGCAUAGUCCACUUUGGCUUCUUUGUUUCUUCUUCUUCUUCUUUCCUCUUCUGCUUUCUCUCUUCUCUGUCUCUCUGGUUCUUCUGUCACGGAUCCUACACGGGUCUUCUUAUUUGCCAUUGUGCCAUUCCUUCUUCCUUCGCUCUCUUUUCUUCUUCUCUUUCAAUUCAAACACAAAACAGAAAAGAUUAUUAACUUGAUACAACUUGUUUGACUUUUGACAACUUACAGCUUUUCCCAUUUACUCAAACACUUGUGUCUGAUAUCACACUAAAAACUGAACUUGCUGCAGCUACAGACACAGGGACACUUGCCUGCCAUGACUUCAACGCCAUCGUAUUAUUUUGGUGUCUACGUGUUGUUUUAUGUUCCUAGUGUAACUAGACAGGACAAAAUAAGUAACGUGAAUGUGGUGUUUGUCCAUUCGACAGAGUAGGAAGUGACCCGGAGGCCAUGACACAGGCAGUAGAGGAGCCAAGACGGUGAAACCCAUGUUAGACACUAAAUGACCACGGUACGGCGCUGUUUCCCCACUCUCAAAGCAAACGCUGAAUAAACGAUCGGAUUGGACACAGUUACAGUACUUUACGGUAGGCUUUACAACAGUGUUAUAUUAUUAGUCAGAUAUUAAUGCACAUGAAUAUUAUUGUAAUGAACCCUGACCUUUGUUAUGUCCGCAAGCCUAGAUUUAACUACAAUAAAUAAACUUGGUUAAUUUAUUUUAAUGAACGCUGCAAACCUCACUUCAACGUCAGAUAAACGCUAAAUAAAGCAUGCACUUGUUCGUUUUGUUCAUAUGCAAUUUAGAAAGUUCACUAAACAAAAAUCUGUGUUUUCAACUGCCAACACAGACACAUCUUUCUCACAUCUUCAUAUUAUCUGAAACAUAACUGAAAACUAAGUUGUUUGCACGCAGGUGAGUAAAUUCCCUACUGUCUUAACGAUAUGUUUUUUUUUAUCAAAUAGACAUUUAAAAAAAAGUAAACCGGUCGUUUUGAUGUAGCUGUGAAACUAUUAUAUCAAAACGAAUCUCUGUCCACUCACUCCAGUCACGCAGCUACUGACAGAACUGGACCUGUGCGCGUGAUCGAGUUUCCAUGGGGAACACGAACACAUGAAUUUAGGCCCAGUCGCCAUUUUGAAUCACAAAAAGUGAUUUCUACACCUUAACAAAAAUAACAGGUUGUCAAUAAAUACUAUAUUAAUACUACAUUCAACACAUAUAUAGACAUUUAAGGGGAAAAUAGCUAAUUAAAACGGAAUAAACCACAUUAAAAACCUUUCCAACCUUAAAAUCAAAUAUUUCUACUACAAAGAUCUUAUGAAACAGUUGUAAGGAGCAAAGUUACUUAUUAAACAGUUGUAAGGAGCAAAGUUUCAUGUAGACUAAUAUAGAAGCAGCGUGUCUUUUCUAACCUGCCAAGCAGAGGUGAAUCUGGGCCACACGCCGGUACUUCCAGACAUCAGCUCACCAGAUGCACCAGUUGGUUCUUUCAGAACAGGUGAGUGACUGUUGCCCAAAUAGUAAAUCCAACGAUCCUUAAAUUGAGUUAAAUAUCCAAGGGCUCGUGGUUCCUGGAGCAAUCCUUAGCCACCACAGAAAAACUUUCGUCCGUCAAGGUUAGCGUCCAACUGCAAAGGGGGGAAUACCCGCGCCUACGGGCCUUAUAUAACUUCCGUCGUUCUGUUUCCAUGACACCCACUGACGCGUGCACGUGCGAACGAGAAAGACGGAAAUACAAGCAUGAAGCCAAGCUGAAAGGAGUCAUUGGCUUCCAAGCAAUUGAGGAAGUAUGUUAUGAUCAUUUGAAGAACGCGCAUAAGUUAAAUCAUCUGAGUUCUACUCAGCCAACAGCAACAAGGCAGAGGCUAAAACAACUGGUGGAGGACCUGCACCACCACCCCUGACGCAUGCAGAGGAGAUGGCCCUCAGCAUGAACACUGGAAAGCAGAGGCUAAAGAAAUUCCUGGAGGGAGUUCGUCAGAACCAGUCACUCACCAGGAUACAAGUGCAUUUGUAAAAUACUCUGAUGGUAAUAUCAGCCUGUUGGAUCCUCCUGUCACAACAGAAGCCCAGUCAGUUGUACUAAGGAGCCCCGCCUCCCUGCUGACGGCUUCAUGUGGCACAGAGCAGAAGUAUGUCCUGCACGGAGAGGUGGGCUACUGCCAGCCAGCAAGCAGAUGGCUUCCACAGAUUAACUACCUCAUGAGCAGAUUAGCUCAGUUUACCCACAUCUUUGCUGAGUGGCUACCUCACCGAAGAAUAAAGCGCCUCUCAGCUUUUAUUUUGUAGGAUUUGCUCCCACCAGGCUGAAAUGUGCUUUUACAGUGGAUGUGACAGCUAAGAGAAAAUGGAAAUGGGCUGACUUGAACAAAUCCCGAUUUUUAGACUGUCUUCCUUCACUGGACAAGCAUCAAGUCAUAAAGGGAGUUAUAGUCACAUCGGUUGUAUCUGCUGACUUUGUAAGAUAAGAUAACUUUAUUAUCUAUAUCUAUAUUAUCUAUAUAUCUAUAUAUAAACUUUAUUUAUUCCACAGUGGGAAAAUUCUUUUGUCUGCAGCAGCAAGGAGACAUUAAAUGGGUAUAGAAGUAUAGACAGUAUAGAAGUAUAGAGGAACAGUAUGGAAUGGACAGCAGCAGUAUUAGCAAAGCAAGAAAAAUAAAAACUCAUUGUUGACAAACAACAAUGAGUUGAACGGAAUACACCAUGUAGGUACAUUUGUGUGUCACUCUAGUGUUGUGUUGCACAGUCUGAUAGCUAUGGGGAGGACUGACCUGCGGUAGCGUUCCUUCCUGCACUGUGGGUGUAACAGUCUUGUGUUGGAGGAGCUGCUCAGAGCCUCUACAGCAGCAGGAUGGAGGAGUCAGACCUGCUAAAGAAGAGAGUCCAGGCUAUUAAAGUAUGAGUGACUCCACUGUUACAGAAGACUGUAACAACAGCCCUAGUUCAGCAUAAAUAUGUUGUUGUGUGUAAAAUGUGUUUUACUUUAGAAUAGUGGUUAUUCACGAGGCAUUAUUACUGUGUUUAUGUAUUUGCUCUGGUGUUAACCUCUAAUUCAGAUAUUUUGAGAAUUAAUUUGAUCCUUCAGGAGAAGCAUCAUAUUCAGCAACUCAUUCGGGUGAAGAAAGUGGAAUUGGACCAGGAGAAGGUCAAACUACAGCAUCUAAAG